AUGCAGCUCUGCAGAAGAAAGAGCCCCAGGCUCACACGUUUCCUUUCCCACAAGCUGGGCUGGUUUGGAACAACCUGCUGUGCGUGCGCAGUGUAGCCACGUGCCACGCAGAGAUACCAGCCGAGCGCCCUGAGCAGCGGUGGCAUAGCAGCGUGCUGGCACUACUGGCUUCUUAACUCUGCACGCACGUGCCCUGCUUCCAGUCCUGCAGCAAGGCUGCUGGUGGCACAAAACUGGGAGGAGCGGCUGAUCCACCGCAAGGCUGUGCUGCCGUUCAGAGAGACCUGGACAGGCUGGAGAGCAGGGCAGAGAGGAACCUCACGAAGCUCAACAGAGGCAAAUGCAGGGUCCUGCACCUAGGGAGGAAUCACGCCAUGCACCAGGGCAGGCUGGGAGCUGGCCUGCUUGAAAGCAGCCCUGUGUGGAUGGACCUGGGAGUCCCGGUGGACAAAAGGUUAACCAUGAGCCAGCACAGGACCCCUGUGGCCAAGGCCAGUGGGAUCCUGCCCCUCUACUACACCGUCAACAGAGUCAGCAACUCCUCGCAGUUUAGUAUCAUCAGUGAAUUUACUCAAAACACCUUCUAGUCCUACAUCCUGGGCUCUUCACGAGCAGGUUACAAACACCGGCGGAAACCAGCGAUGAGAUCCCCGCCUCCCCAGGCCCCGGCUGUGUAUGGCCGGGCAGAGGGUGCUGCUGGCUCCGCCCGCACUUCCUCAGCCGCCCUCACGAGGGCUGCCGGGCCCCGGCGGCUCCCUCGGCAGCCUCGAGGGGCCUCGGGACAAGAAAAAAGCCUCAAAAGAACAAAAAGCCAUGCCCGCCACCAUCCUCCGCUCCGUUGGGGCACGCCACUGCCCCGGAGCAGGUCAGUGCCACUUCAUGCUUGGUGUGGAUCCCAUUACCGGAGGGUGUCAUUACAGGUGUAAUUUCAUAUGACUCGAUCUGUGCACAUUAUUUCUUGUCCUGUCAUGUGGCAGUCUAUCCAGGGACUUAUCAGGCUGAAAAUAGGGGAUGAAGAUGCUGUCUUCAUGGUAAGUUUUCCAAUACCAGAUUGGAUCCUGUUCCUUCAUUCGUUUUUAUCUGAGGUUUCGCCUUUUUGAUUAGAAUAACAUUAGUACUUUUGUUUUAAUGACUUCCAAAGUAGAGCACCCUCCUAAGGGAGCAAAAGAAUCUGUUUUGCCUUGUGAUUGUUUAUGUGACCUCAGCUGAGCUUAAGGCUCCUCUGAAAAUAAUAGGCAGUUUAGCCUCUAUUAUCUGUAGUAUGCUCCAGAGAUCUCCUGGAGUUUUUUUUGU
This 1293-nucleotide long non-coding RNA is filed under the name Anser cygnoides (Swan goose). RNAcentral's name for it is "lncRNA (ENSACDG00005017061.1)". The record is from RNAcentral. Lineage: Eukaryota; Metazoa; Chordata; Aves; Anseriformes; Anatidae.